UUCACACAGGGAACAGCGCUAUUUAGGUUAGAGUUUGAUCAUGGCUCAGAAUCAACGCUGGCGGCGUGCCUAACACAUGCAAGUCGAACGAGAAAGUGGAGCAAUCCAUGAGUAAAGUGGCGACCGGGUGAGUAACACGUGACUAACCUACCCUUGAGUGGGGGAUAACCUCGGGAAACCGGGGCUAAUACCGCAUAACAUCUUCGGGAUGAGAAGCUGAAGAUCAAAGGAGCAAUUCGCUUUUGGAGGGGGUCGCGGCUGAUUAGCUAGUUGGCGGGGUAACGGCCCACCAAGGCUUUGAUCGGUAUCCGGCCUGAGAGCGCC
Molecule: ribosomal RNA, 324 nt
Filed under: uncultured bacterium
Lineage: Bacteria
Description: partial 16S ribosomal RNA
Rfam family: Bacterial small subunit ribosomal RNA
Source: RNAcentral